GGCGUUAAGUUGCAGGGUAUAGACCCGAAACCCGGUGAUCUAGCCAUGGGCAGGUUGAAGGUUGGGUAACACUAACUGGAGGACCGAACCGACUAAUGUUGAAAAAUUAGCGGAUGACCUGUGGCUGGGGGUGAAAGGCCAAUCAAACCGGGAGAUAGCUGGUUCUCCCCGAAAGCUAUUUAGGUAGCGCCUCGUGAAUUCAUCUCCGGGGGUAGAGCACUGUUUCGGCUAGGGGGCCAUCCCGGCUUACCAACCCGAUGCAAACUGCGAAUACCGGAGAAUGUUAUCACGGGAGACACACGGCGGGUGCUAACGUCCGUCGUGAAGAGGGAAACAACCCAGACCGCCAGCUAAGGUCCCAAAGUCAUGGUUAAGUGGGAAACGAUGUGGGAAGGCCCAGACAGCCAGGAUGUUGGCUUAGAAGCAGCCAUCAUUUAAAGAAAGCGUAAUAGCUCACUGGUCGAGUCGGCCUGCGCGGAAGAUGUAACGGGGCUAAACCAUGCACCGAAGCUGCGGCAGCGAACGUAUCACUUAAAGCGAUUCAGCGGGUUACGAUUGACGGAGCGAAGCGACGUCAAAGCGUAUACAAAGUCGAGUCGGUUUAAGGAUACGUUCGUUGGGUAGGGGAGCGUUCUGUAAGCCUGUGAAGGUGUGUCGUGAGGCAUGCUGGAGGUAUCAGAAGUGCGAAUGCUGACAUAAGUAACGAUAAAGCGGGUGAAAAGCCCGCUCGCCGGAAGACCAAGGGUUCCUGUCCAACGUUAAUCGGGGCAGGGUGAGUCGACCCCUAAGGCGAGGCCGAAAGGCGUAGUCGAUGGGAAACGGGUUAAUAUUCCCGUACUUGGUGUUACUGCGAAGGGGGGACGGAGAAGGCUAUGUUGGCCGGGCGACGGUUGUCCCGGUUUAAGCGUGUAGGUGUGUGUUCCAGGUAAAUCCGGUUCACUUUAACACUGAGGCGUGACGACGAGGCACUACGGUGCUGAAGCAACAAAUGCCCUGCUUCCAGGAAAAGCCUCUAAGCAUCAGGUAACAUCAAAUCGUACCCCAAACCGACACAGGUGGUCAGGUAGAGAAUACCAAGGCGCUUGAGAGAACUCGGGUGAAGGAACUAGGCAAAAUGGUGCCGUAACUUCGGGAGAAGGCACGCUGACACGUAGGUGAAGUGAUUUACUCAUGGAGCUGAAGUCAGUCGAAGAUACCAGCUGGCUGCAACUGUUUAUUAAAAACACAGCACUGUGCAAACACGAAAGUGGACGUAUACGGUGUGACGCCUGCCCGGUGCCGGAAGGUUAAUUGAUGGGGUCAGCGCAAGCGAAGCUCCUGAUCGAAGCCCCGGUAAACGGCGGCCGUAACUAUAACGGUCCUAAGGUAGCGAAAUUCCUUGUCGGGUAAGUUCCGACCUGCACGAAUGGCGUAAUGAUGGCCAGGCUGUCUCCACCCGAGACUCAGUGAAAUUGAACUCGCUGUGAAGAUGCAGUGUACCCGCGGCAAGACGGAAAGACCCCGUGAACCUUUACUAUAGCUUGACACUGAACAUUGAGCCUUGAUGUGUAG
Molecule: ribosomal RNA, 1551 nt
Filed under: Salmonella enterica
Lineage: Bacteria; Pseudomonadati; Pseudomonadota; Gammaproteobacteria; Enterobacterales; Enterobacteriaceae
Also listed under: 1 other name
Description: partial 23S ribosomal RNA
Rfam family: Bacterial large subunit ribosomal RNA
Source: RNAcentral